Molecule: unclassified non-coding RNA, 222 nt
Filed under: Basidiomycota sp.
Lineage: Eukaryota; Fungi; Basidiomycota
Description: partial contains small subunit ribosomal RNA, internal transcribed spacer 1, and 5.8S ribosomal RNA
Rfam family: Eukaryotic small subunit ribosomal RNA (bases 1-47)
Source: RNAcentral
AAAGUCGUAACAAGGUUUCCGUAGGUGAACCUGCGGAAGGAUCAUUAUUGAUUUUCUAGUAAAGGAUUGAGCUGUGCCCUGAAAGGGAGCACGCCCGUUCCGAUACACUUACACCUGUGCACCUUUGACCCGCUUAGUCGGGUCCUUACACACACUAUUGAUCUUAGAAUGUUUUAUUUGAUAAAAUUAUGACAACUUUCAACAACGGAUCUCUUGGCUCUC